AGUCGAACGGGAACAGGAAGGAAGCUUGCUUUCUUGCUGACGAGUGGCGGACGGGUGAGUAAUGCUUGGGAAUCUGGCUUAUGGAGGGGGAUAACUACGGGAAACUGUAGCUAAUACCGCGUAAUAUCUUCGGAUUAAAGGGUGGGACCGUAAGGCCACCUGCCAUAAGAUGAGCCCAAGUGGGAUUAGGUAGUUGGUGGGGUAAAGGCCUACCAAGCCGACGAUCUCUAGCUGGUCUGAGAGGAUGACCAGCCACACUGGAACUGAGACACGGUCCAGACUCCUACGGGAGGCAGCAGUGGGGAAUAUUGCACAAUGGGGGGAACCCUGAUGCAGCCAUGCCGCGUGAAUGAAGAAGGCCUUCGGGUUGUAAAGUUCUUUCGGUGAUGAGGAAGGCAGGUAAGUUAAUAGCUUACUUGAUUGACGUUAGUCACAGAAGAAGCACCGGCUAACUCCGUGCCAGCAGCCGCGGUAAUACGGAGGGUGCGAGCGUUAAUCGGAAUGACUGGGCGUAAAGGGCACGCAGGCGGUGACUUAAGUGAGAUGUGAAAGCCCCGGGCUUAACCUGGGAAUUGCAUUUCAUACUGGGUCGCUAGAGUAUUUUAGGGAGGGGUAGAAUUCCACGUGUAGCGGUGAAAUGCGUAGAGAUGUGGAGGAAUACCGAAGGCGAAGGCAGCCCCUUGGGAAUAUACUGACGCUCAUGUGCGAAAGCGUGGGGAGCAAACAGGAUUAGAUACCCUGGUAGUCCACGCUGUAAACGCUGUCGAUUUGGGGAUUGGGCUUUGAGCUUGGUGCCCGUAGCU
This 803-nucleotide ribosomal RNA is filed under the name uncultured bacterium. RNAcentral describes it as "bacterial SSU rRNA". It matches the Rfam family "Bacterial small subunit ribosomal RNA", at positions 60 to 853 of the family's 1533-position model. The record is from RNAcentral.